This 253-nucleotide ribosomal RNA is filed under the name uncultured bacterium. RNAcentral describes it as "partial 16S ribosomal RNA". It matches the Rfam family "Bacterial small subunit ribosomal RNA", at positions 524 to 776 of the family's 1533-position model. The record is from RNAcentral.
UACGGAGGGUGCAAGCGUUGUCCGGAUUUAUUGGGUUUAAAGGGUGCGUAGGCGGCCCUGUAAGUCAGUGGUGAAAUACUGCAGCUUAACUGUAGCAUUGCCAUUGAUACUGUAGGGCUUGAGUACAGAUGAGGUAGGCGGAAUUGAUGGUGUAGCGGUGAAAUGCGCAGAUAUCAGGAGGAACACCAAUUGCGAAGGCAGCUCGCUGGGACGUUACUGACGCUGAGACGCGAAAGCGUGGGGAGCAAACAGG